Molecule: ribosomal RNA, 322 nt
Filed under: Holothuroidea sp. H._cinerascens_2_NEC1
Lineage: Eukaryota; Metazoa; Echinodermata; Holothuroidea
Description: partial large subunit ribosomal RNA
Rfam family: Bacterial large subunit ribosomal RNA
Source: RNAcentral
CUUGUCUUUUAAAUGGAGACUCGUAUGAACGGCGUAACCUUCUUCAACUGUCUCCCCUCCCACCCCUCUAAAUUCUUUUCUGAGUGAAGAAACCCAGAUAAGCCAGAAAGACGAGAAGACCCUGUCGAGCUUUAACCAUUAGGUGAACUUAAACCCCUUUUAGACAUCACCCAAAGGUUUUGGUUGGGGCAACCAUGGAGAAAAUAAACCCUCCAGAGCAAAUAGAAGAAAGUAAUUCACUAUUACUCCUAACUGAGAACCAGGAACUGGUAUUCAGAAAAAGUUACCGCAGGGGUAACAGCGUAAUCCCCUCUAAGAGUCC